RNAcentral lists this ribosomal RNA (460 nucleotides) under uncultured bacterium. RNAcentral describes it as "partial 16S ribosomal RNA". It matches the Rfam family "Bacterial small subunit ribosomal RNA", at positions 338 to 795 of the family's 1533-position model. The record is from RNAcentral.
CCUACGGGAGGCAGCAGUGAGGAAUAUUUGUCAAUGGGCUUACGCCUGAACCAGCCAAGUCGCGUGAGGGAAGACUGCCCUAUGGGUUGUAAACCUCUUUUGUCAGGGAGCAACGCCGGCUACGUGUAGCCGGACUGAGAGUACCUGAAGACAAAGCAUCGGCUAACUCCGUGCCAGCAGCCGCGGUAAUACGGAGGAUGCGAGCGUUAUCCGGAUUUAUUGGGUUUAAGGGGUGCGUAGGUGGAAUGCCAAGGCACCGGUAACAUCGCGGGGCUCAACCUCGUUCCGCCGUUGAAACUGGCGUGCUUGAGUGGGCGAUAAGUAUGCGGAAUGCGUGGUGUAGCGGUGAAAUGCAUAGAUAUCACGCAGAACUCCGAUUGCGAAGGCAGCAUACCGGCGCCCAACUGACGCUGAAGCACGAAGGCGUGGGUAUCGAACAGGAUUAGAUACCCCAGUAGUC